Molecule: ribosomal RNA, 513 nt
Filed under: uncultured bacterium
Lineage: Bacteria
Description: bacterial SSU rRNA
Rfam family: Bacterial small subunit ribosomal RNA
Source: RNAcentral
GAUCCUGGCUUAGGAUGAACGCUAGCUACAGGCUUAACACAUGCAAGUCGAGGGGCAGCAUUGGGAUAGCUUGCUAUCCAGAUGGCGACCGGCGCACGGGUGGGUAACGCGUAUCCAACCUUCCCUAUAGUAGAGAAUAGCCCGGCGAAAGUCGGAUUAAUGCUCUAUGUUGUGUUUUGAGGACAUCUGACGAACACCAAAGGUUCACCGCUAUAGGAUGGGGAUGCGUCUGAUUAGCUUGUUGGCGGGUAACGGCCCACCAAGGCGACGAUCAGUAGGGGUUCUGAGAGGAAGGUCCCCCACAUUGGUACUGAGACACGGACCAAACUCCUACGGGAGGCAGCAGUGAGGAAUAUUGGUCAAUGGGCGAGAGCCUGAACCAGCCAAGUAGCGUGCAAGGAUGACUGCCCUAUGGGUUGUAAACUGCUUUUAUCAGGGAAUAAAGUGCGGCACGUGUGCCGUUUUGUAUGUACCUGAUGAAUAAGGACCGGCUAAUUCCGUGCCAGCCGCCGC